AACUACUGGAAACGGUAGCUAAUACCGCAUAAUGUCGCAAGACCAAAGUGGGGGACCUUCGGGCCUCAUGCCAUCAGAUGUGCCCAGAUGGGAUUAGCUAGUAGGUGGGGUAACGGCUCACCUAGGCGACGAUCCCUAGCUGGUCUGAGAGGAUGACCAGCCACACUGGAACUGAGACACGGUCCAGACUCCUACGGGAGGCAGCAGUGGGGAAUAUUGCACAAUGGGCGCAAGCCUGAUGCAGCCAUGCCGCGUGUGUGAAGAAGGCCUUCGGGUUGUAAAGCACUUUCAGCGGGGAGGAAGGCGUUAAGGUUAAUAACCUUGGCGAUUGACGUUACCCGCAGAAGAAGCACCGGCUAACUCCGUGCCAGCAGCCGCGGUAAUACGGAGGGUGCAAGCGUUAAUCGGAAUUACUGGGCGUAAAGCGCACGCAGGCGGUCUGUCAAGUCGGAUGUGAAAUCCCCGGGCUCAACCUGGGAACUGCAUUCGAAACUGGCAGGCUAGAGUCUUGUAGAGGGGGGUAGAAUUCCAGGUGUAGCGGUGA
Molecule: ribosomal RNA, 544 nt
Filed under: Pseudomonas aeruginosa
Lineage: Bacteria; Pseudomonadati; Pseudomonadota; Gammaproteobacteria; Pseudomonadales; Pseudomonadaceae
Description: bacterial SSU rRNA
Rfam family: Bacterial small subunit ribosomal RNA
Source: RNAcentral